UUAAUAAAUGCAGUCUUAGAGUUUGAUUAACUUCUCUUCCAGUAGGUGGAGAUGUGCCCACCGGGCCAGGAUUCUCCUCUCAAUACGCGGGAACCAAUCACUGUGCAGCAGCUCCUCCUCCCAGACUGGGCGGGUCUCCAGUCCUCAGUGCCUAGGACCUUCUCUUGUGUCUAGUCACUUCUCUACUUUUCCUUAAGCCAGGCCCUGCUCACCGGUGACGCUCACCACAAUACUGGCUACACACUAGUUCUGCUGCUCCCAGGAGCCCUAUUUUCUUGAACGACUGGGCACACUCUCCCCAUUUGCCAUUCCCUCAGACCCGACGUUUGUGGAGCUUGGGGCUGAGAACCCUCAGCGAAAUUUUGCUUGUCCUCCGGUAGCCACGCCCCUGGUAGCUGGUGCAAGAGACCUCAGUUGUCAGCACUGGUGGGAGUGGUAGCCGCGGGUCCCGCGCCACUCCUGAUUCCCUUGGUCUGACUAUCGCGCUCACAGGAGAGCUGGGAGGAGCCCUUA
This 513-nucleotide long non-coding RNA is filed under the name Marmota monax (woodchuck). The record is from RNAcentral. Lineage: Eukaryota; Metazoa; Chordata; Mammalia; Rodentia; Sciuridae.